RNAcentral lists this ribosomal RNA (2929 nucleotides) under Escherichia coli. RNAcentral describes it as "23S ribosomal RNA". It matches the Rfam family "Bacterial large subunit ribosomal RNA". Lineage: Bacteria; Pseudomonadati; Pseudomonadota; Gammaproteobacteria; Enterobacterales; Enterobacteriaceae. The record is from RNAcentral.
GGGUUGUGAGGUUAAGCGACUAAGCGUACACGGUGGAUGCCCUGGCAGUCAGAGGCGAUGAAGGACGUGCUAAUCUGCGAUAAGCGUCGGUAAGGUGAUAUGAACCGUUAUAACCGGCGAUUUCCGAAUGGGGAAACCCAGUGUGUUUCGACACACUAUCAUUAACUGAAUCCAUAGGUUAAUGAGGCGAACCGGGGGAACUGAAACAUCUAAGUACCCCGAGGAAAAGAAAUCAACCGAGAUUCCCCCAGUAGCGGCGAGCGAACGGGGAGCAGCCCAGAGCCUGAAUCAGUGUGUGUGUUAGUGGAAGCGUCUGGAAAGGCGCGCGAUACAGGGUGACAGCCCCGUACACAAAAAUGCACAUGCUGUGAGCUCGAUGAGUAGGGCGGGACACGUGGUAUCCUGUCUGAAUAUGGGGGGACCAUCCUCCAAGGCUAAAUACUCCUGACUGACCGAUAGUGAACCAGUACCGUGAGGGAAAGGCGAAAAGAACCCCGGCGAGGGGAGUGAAAAAGAACCUGAAACCGUGUACGUACAAGCAGUGGGAGCCUCUUUAUGGGGUGACUGCGUACCUUUUGUAUAAUGGGUCAGCGACUUAUAUUCUGUAGCAAGGUUAACCGAAUAGGGGAGCCGAAGGGAAACCGAGUCUUAACUGGGCGUUAAGUUGCAGGGUAUAGACCCGAAACCCGGUGAUCUAGCCAUGGGCAGGUUGAAGGUUGGGUAACACUAACUGGAGGACCGAACCGACUAAUGUUGAAAAAUUAGCGGAUGACUUGUGGCUGGGGGUGAAAGGCCAAUCAAACCGGGAGAUAGCUGGUUCUCCCCGAAAGCUAUUUAGGUAGCGCCUCGUGAACUCAUCUCCGGGGGUAGAGCACUGUUUCGGCAAGGGGGUCAUCCCGACUUACCAACCCGAUGCAAACUGCGAAUACCGGAGAAUGUUAUCACGGGAGACACACGGCGGGUGCUAACGUCCGUCGUGAAGAGGGAAACAACCCAGACCGCCAGCUAAGGUCCCAAAGUCAUGGUUAAGUGGGAAACGAUGUGGGAAGGCCCAGACAGCCAGGAUGUUGGCUUAGAAGCAGCCAUCAUUUAAAGAAAGCGUAAUAGCUCACUGGUCGAGUCGGCCUGCGCGGAAGAUGUAACGGGGCUAAACCAUGCACCGAAGCUGCGGCAGCGACGCUUAUGCGUUGUUGGGUAGGGGAGCGUUCUGUAAGCCUGUGAAGGUGUACUGUGAGGUAUGCUGGAGGUAUCAGAAGUGCGAAUGCUGACAUAAGUAACGAUAAAGCGGGUGAAAAGCCCGCUCGCCGGAAGACCAAGGGUUCCUGUCCAACGUUAAUCGGGGCAGGGUGAGUCGACCCCUAAGGCGAGGCCGAAAGGCGUAGUCGAUGGGAAACAGGUUAAUAUUCCUGUACUUGGUGUUACUGCGAAGGGGGGACGGAGAAGGCUAUGUUGGCCGGGCGACGGUUGUCCCGGUUUAAGCGUGUAGGCUGGUUUUCCAGGCAAAUCCGGAAAAUCAAGGCUGAGGCGUGAUGACGAGGCACUACGGUGCUGAAGCAACAAAUGCCCUGCUUCCAGGAAAAGCCUCUAAGCAUCAGGUAACAUCAAAUCGUACCCCAAACCGACACAGGUGGUCAGGUAGAGAAUACCAAGGCGCUUGAGAGAACUCGGGUGAAGGAACUAGGCAAAAUGGUGCCGUAACUUCGGGAGAAGGCACGCUGAUAUGUAGGUGAAGCGACUUGCUCGUGGAGCUGAAAUCAGUCGAAGAUACCAGCUGGCUGCAACUGUUUAUUAAAAACACAGCACUGUGCAAACACGAAAGUGGACGUAUACGGUGUGACGCCUGCCCGGUGCCGGAAGGUUAAUUGAUGGGGUUAGCGCAAGCGAAGCUCUUGAUCGAAGCCCCGGUAAACGGCGGCCGUAACUAUAACGGUCCUAAGGUAGCGAAAUUCCUUGUCGGGUAAGUUCCGACCUGCACGAAUGGCGUAAUGAUGGCCAGGCUGUCUCCACCCGAGACUCAGUGAAAUUGAACUCGCUGUGAAGAUGCAGUGUACCCGCGGCAAGACGGAAAGACCCCGUGAACCUUUACUAUAGCUUGACACUGAACAUUGAGCCUUGAUGUGUAGGAUAGGUGGGAGGCUUUGAAGUGUGGACGCCAGUCUGCAUGGAGCCGACCUUGAAAUACCACCCUUUAAUGUUUGAUGUUCUAACGUUGACCCGUAAUCCGGGUUGCGGACAGUGUCUGGUGGGUAGUUUGACUGGGGCGGUCUCCUCCUAAAGAGUAACGGAGGAGCACGAAGGUUGGCUAAUCCUGGUCGGACAUCAGGAGGUUAGUGCAAUGGCAUAAGCCAGCUUGACUGCGAGCGUGACGGCGCGAGCAGGUGCGAAAGCAGGUCAUAGUGAUCCGGUGGUUCUGAAUGGAAGGGCCAUCGCUCAACGGAUAAAAGGUACUCCGGGGAUAACAGGCUGAUACCGCCCAAGAGUUCAUAUCGACGGCGGUGUUUGGCACCUCGAUGUCGGCUCAUCACAUCCUGGGGCUGAAGUAGGUCCCAAGGGUAUGGCUGUUCGCCAUUUAAAGUGGUACGCGAGCUGGGUUUAGAACGUCGUGAGACAGUUCGGUCCCUAUCUGCCGUGGGCGCUGGAGAACUGAGGGGGGCUGCUCCUAGUACGAGAGGACCGGAGUGGACGCAUCACUGGUGUUCGGGUUGUCAUGCCAAUGGCACUGCCCGGUAGCUAAAUGCGGAAGAGAUAAGUGCUGAAAGCAUCUAAGCACGAAACUUGCCCCGAGAUGAGUUCUCCCUGACUCCUUGAGAGUCCUGAAGGAACGUUGAAGACGACGACGUUGAUAGGCCGGGUGUGUAAGCGCAGCGAUGCGUUGAGCUAACCGGUACUAAUGAACCGUGAGGCUUAACCUUACAACGCCGAAGCUGUU